GGGUGGGUGAGGGUCAUUGGCCGGGGUAGACAGGCUACUGUGAGUGUAGUGGUCUCGCUAGAGGGCUGUCCUGAGCGGGGGCAAUAGUUGCAGUGGCUGUGUCAGAGUUGGUGGCUACGGAGGAGAGGGUGUCCCAGUGCCAGAGCAGCAGUGUAAGCCGCCAGCCUGAGAGAGCAGGGAGAGAACAGAGACACACAGACUAGACACCAGGGUGACUGUGACAGAGGAAGGGUGGCUCGGAUGCAUGCAGAGGGAUUAGUUGGCUUUAAAAAUUCACACAAACAGACAAAGUAAUAGACAAAAGCAACUUAAAGAAGCGAAUAUUAGGCCUAGUAAGAAAAGAAAAACAGGCGUCAUGCUGUGAGUGGACAUUAAAGGAUACAUCCCUACACAGCACCAACAUGGAUACACUGACUAGAAAAACUAAUGCACUAAAAAAAAGUACGAGUCUUCCUGUAGAAAAACUACAGCACCACGCAGAACCACCUAUAAGGGUUAAACAGUACCAGUGACAAUCUUAUGUGAUCUACUUUUCCCACACUGCCGAUAUGAGUGAUGGCUUGCUGUGGUUGUCAAAAUGACUUCAUAUGAGUUGACCACACUCAAGAGGGUAAAAAGCAUUUCUGUGUCUUUAACUGGUAUUGCUUCAACCUUGAUAAUAAUGAAAUAAAUCUCCAAUGGCUUGGAGAGGAAACACAAAGUGCAGUAAUUCCCUUUCAGAGGGUAUAAAAACAGAAUAUUUUGACAUAAAGCAACACACUUCAGUGCACUCCACUCAAGAAUGGACUGAACUCUUCGAGAUGGUUUUAAAUUGAGCAGAACCUGAGGCCGAAUAUGUCCAGUUCUUUAAAACACUGUAAUUCUUUGAAGUGGAGAUGCAUUGUACAACAGUUAAAACAUGAUUCAUUAGGCUGUGUGCUGCAUUUCAGCCUGUACUCACUCUGGCUCUGUGAGGGGUGUGGUUUCAUUGGGUUUCUGUUGGUCCUGCUGCGUUGUGAUGGGCUGUGCACUCGUCCUCUGUUCGAACUUCAACAAUUGGCUCUUUGGGACUCAUCUUUCCUGAAUGCAGCCUUGCGCCUCUUCUAAGUUGUGUCCUUUGGUUCCUGUGCCUGAUUUGCCGCAGAGACACAUGAUGAGGCCACAUUUGUUGACAAAGUAACAGGUGACAUCCACAGCGAGCAGGAGGAGCAUGAACACUACAACAAGGAUCCCUGCCCAGAGCAUGAUGCCCAUGGAGAGCACAGAGUCCUCCCCCAUAUCUGCCGGACAGGGAAGAGAGGGAACAGUGAUCAACUGUAGUGUGACACACUUUAACAGAAACAGCCACCAACCACUACAUAAUGUGACUAUUUACCAAGUGCUGCUACUGAAACCAAAUAGUUUCAUAAAACAGAGAUAACUCACCUGCUAUGCCUUUGAUUUGACUAGACGUCUCAGCAACAAAAUCAGAUGCAGUGCAAUAUGUUUUUGUAGCCUGUUGUGUCUGGGCUGGUGUUAAAUUAUGUCAUUUUCACUAUGAGAAAUGUGUAUGACACUGACUGUUCUGAAAGCCAUUCCAGUAAAUGAACCCAUUUAUUUGGUAUUAGAGGCAAACAAAAGCUUACAAUGUGUUGCUAGUUUCCCCAAAAAAUAGCAGUCUCUGAUUAAAAUGAGUGGAGUUUUUCCCACAUAUCCCAAAAGGUUGUGAUGCAUCUUUGCUGUUUGUCUGAAAUCCAUUAAUUAUGUCAGAAUACUACAUAAAAAGAACACUAAUUUAAAAUAUCCUCGCUUUCAAAUCAAAGUUAUCUUUAUAAUUACCAACAACUACAAAAUGAGAUCUGCUAAACAAAAGAAAAUACAAUGGAGUGAUGCACCAUUCAGUUAUAAAUGUAUAAAAACAGUUAGCUACUUGUAAUCUGACACAUCACAUGCAUGAGAAUUAUCUGGACAUUGUUCAUUUGUUUUAGUAAAACAAAAAAGGUUCAUGAUGAUCACUUUGUGUACAGCAUGUCAAACAGAACCAGUUACAAAGAUGUCUUUCUUUGUUAGGUAUUUCUGUUCUAAAUAAUGUAAACAAUGUUAAAAAUCUUUACAUAGAAAUGAUUUUGUGAGAUUAAACAGUGCUACAUAAUCCAAUAUGUCCAGUUCUUAGUCUCAUUGUAAGUGCUAUUGUUUUAAUUCGACCUCGUAUGAAAUCCACUAAUGUUCAGGACUGUAAACUUGCACUGUUGUCUAGUGCCGAUGACUUGCUGUGCUAAUACUGGGCAGGGUGACUCUGGGAGGCGGAGGAUUUCCACUGCCUUUGGUUCAGUAUGUCUGUCUGGUCUGUUCUGAAGCUACGCAGCAUCCUUUUCUCAUGCACAACAGAGAUGCGUCUGUCAUGGACAAAGUCUGUUUUAAGGAGUCAAAGCGUCCACAUAGACAGCCAGGCCAGAGAAAGGCAAGCUCUCCUCUACAGUUAUGGUUGUGAAUUCCCCACAAAACUAUGAGAGCAGGAACACAGUGAUGAGGGACAGGAUGAGUGAUACCAAA
Sphaeramia orbicularis (orbiculate cardinalfish) is the source of this 2511-nucleotide long non-coding RNA. RefSeq lists it as uncharacterized. NCBI's taxonomy places the organism in Eukaryota, Metazoa, Chordata, Actinopteri, Kurtiformes, Apogonidae. The record is from RefSeq and is a predicted model, not a curated record. The transcript has 2 exons.